CACGUAGGAGGCAAACGUUAUCCGGAUUUACUGGGCGUAAAGCGCGUGUAGGUGGUUCUGUAAGUAGGGCGUGAAAGCUCCCGGCUCAACUGGGAGAGGCCGUUCUAAACUGCAGAGCUAGAGGAUGGUAGAGGGAGGUGGAAUUCCAGGUGUAGCGGUAAUAUGCGCAGAUAUCGGGAGGAACACCAGUGGCGAAGGCGGCUUCCUGGCCUGUUCCUGACGCUGAGACUCGAAAGCCAGUGUAGCGAACGGGAUUAGAUACCCCCCGUAGUCCCUGA
This 278-nucleotide ribosomal RNA is filed under the name uncultured prokaryote. RNAcentral describes it as "partial 16S ribosomal RNA". It matches the Rfam family "Bacterial small subunit ribosomal RNA", at positions 524 to 799 of the family's 1533-position model. The record is from RNAcentral.